AGCGAACGCUGGCGGCAGGCUUAACACAUGCAAGUCGAACGGGCUUCUUCGGCUUUCAGUGGCAGACGGGUGAGUAACCCGUGGGAACGUGCCCUUCUGAUCGGCAUAACUCAGGGAAACUUCAGCUAAUACCUGAUACGCCCAUCUGGUGAGAGGUUUACUUGCGUAGGAUCGGCUCGCGUCUGAUUGCCUUGUGGGUUGGGUAACGGCCUACCAAGGCGACGAUCAGUAGCUGGUCUGAGAGGAGGAUCAGCCACACUGGGGCUGAGACACGGCCCAGACUCCGACGGAAGGCAGCAGAGGGGAAUAUUGGACGAGGAGCGCAAGCCUGAUCCAGCCAUGCCGCGUGAGAGAUGAAGGCGUUAGGGUUGUAAAGCUCUUUUGUCCGGGACGAUAAUGACGGUACCGGAAGAAUAAGCCCCGGCUAACUUCGUG
This 435-nucleotide ribosomal RNA is filed under the name uncultured bacterium. RNAcentral describes it as "partial 16S ribosomal RNA". It matches the Rfam family "Bacterial small subunit ribosomal RNA", at positions 29 to 507 of the family's 1533-position model. The record is from RNAcentral.